UGGGGAAUAUUGCACAAUGGGCGCAAGCCUGAUGCAGCGACGCCGCGUGAGGGAUGGAGGCCUUCGGGUUGUAAACCUCUUUCGCCAGUGAAGCAGGCCAUCUUCUUUGUGGGGUGGUUGACGGUAGCUGGAUAAGAAGCGCCGGCUAACUACGUGCCAGCAGCCGCGGUAAUACGUAGGGCGCGAGCGUUGUCCGGAAUUAUUGGGCGUAAAGAGCUCGUAGGCGGCUGGUCGCGUCUGUCGUGAAAUCCCCUGGCUUAACUGGGGGCUUGCGGUGGGUACGGGCCGGCUUGAGUGUGGUAGGUGAGACUGGAAUUCCUGGUGUAGCGGUGGAAUGCGCAGAUAUCAGGAGGAACACCGGUGGCGAAGGCGGGUCUCUGGGCCGUUACUGACGCUGAGGAGCGAAAGCGUGGGGAGCGAACAGG
RNAcentral lists this ribosomal RNA (425 nucleotides) under bacterium. Its description in RNAcentral is "partial 16S ribosomal RNA". It matches the Rfam family "Bacterial small subunit ribosomal RNA", at positions 355 to 776 of the family's 1533-position model. The record is from RNAcentral.